GUUUGAUGGCGACCGGCGCACGGGUGAGUAACACGUAUCCAACCUGCCGAUGACUCGGGGAUAGCCUUUCGAAAGAAAGAUUAAUACCCGAUGGCAUAGUUCUUCCGCAUGGUGGAACUAUUAAAGAAUUUCGGUUAUCGAUGGGGAUGCGUUCCAUUAGUUUGUUGGCGGGGUAACGGCCCACCAAGACUACGAUGGAUAGGGGUUCUGAGAGGAAGGUCCCCCACAUUGGAACUGAGACACGGUCCAAACUCCUACGGGAGGCAGCAUG
This 271-nucleotide ribosomal RNA is filed under the name uncultured bacterium. Its description in RNAcentral is "partial 16S ribosomal RNA". It matches the Rfam family "Bacterial small subunit ribosomal RNA", at positions 83 to 353 of the family's 1533-position model. The record is from RNAcentral.